UACGAAGGGGGCUAGCGUUGUUCGGAUUUACUGGGCGUAAAGCGCACGUAGGCGGAUUGUUAAGUUAGAGGUGAAAUCCCGGAGCUCAACUCCGGAACUGCCUUUAAUACUGGCAAUCUAGAGUCCGGAAGAGGUAAGUGGAACUCCUAGUGUAGAGGUGGAAUUCGUAGAUAUUAGGAGGAACACCAGUGGCGAAGGCAGCUUACUGGUCCGACACUGACGCUGAGGUGCGAAAGCGUGGGGAGCAAACAAG
RNAcentral lists this ribosomal RNA (253 nucleotides) under uncultured bacterium. Its description in RNAcentral is "partial 16S ribosomal RNA". It matches the Rfam family "Bacterial small subunit ribosomal RNA", at positions 524 to 776 of the family's 1533-position model. The record is from RNAcentral.